RNAcentral lists this microRNA precursor (95 nucleotides) under Canis lupus dingo (dingo). Its description in RNAcentral is "mir-8799 microRNA precursor family". It matches the Rfam family "mir-8799 microRNA precursor family". Lineage: Eukaryota; Metazoa; Chordata; Mammalia; Carnivora; Canidae. The record is from Rfam by way of RNAcentral.
AAGGGGAGCACUAGAUCCUAGGCUGUGUCUCUCAAUGCCUUGGGCUCCAGGGCCUGUGCUGCUGUAAUCGUGCUCCUGGGACUACGCAGCCCCCU